Vicia villosa (hairy vetch) is the source of this 977-nucleotide long non-coding RNA. RefSeq lists it as uncharacterized. Lineage: Eukaryota; Viridiplantae; Streptophyta; Magnoliopsida; Fabales; Fabaceae. The record is from RefSeq and is a predicted model, not a curated record. The transcript has 5 exons.
CACAUUAGCAUCAUCACCCCAUAGCUUUGUGUCACGGUGAACUAAAAGUGCCGGCAAGAAAAAUUGCACUCCAGCAGGCAAUGUUAGGUCUCCAACUUUUACAUAUUUUUGAACUUCUCGAGGAAGUGCAACUAUUGGCGGGUAUAACAACCAAGUUGUUGUUUCUGCUGGAGUAUUUCGUGUUUCUACCGGCUUUAGUUUUUGGGUUUGUUUUGGCGGGGUGCAGAGCACACUUGUUCAUUUAUGUACAGAGUGAUCUGCCAUUUUGGUGUACAGAAAAACAAAACUACUUGCUGAUGCAAUUUUUUGUAGCAAAGAAAUGAAAUGAGAAUUAGAAUUGAAAAUUGAGGAAAAAUUAGGAGAUGGGGAGUUAAGUGACAUUGAGAAACUAGCCAAGCAAUUCUCUAACAAGUGGCGGCAACUUGACAUCUUCAAGCGUUGAUUACAAAUACCGACUCUUCCUCCAUGGUAUUAGAGUCUCAUCAAGCAAACAAAGUUGACGCGUCUGAAACUGCCAAGGCUGUGAUAUCUUGCUUCAAUAAGUUGGGGGGUCUCUUUCGAUAUGGAUCAGAUACAAUUAAUCAGGGACCCUAAGCAUCAAGUUGAAAUGGUGGGAGUUCCAGAGUAGUAUUUAUCGGGUCAUGCCUUUCAUAUGUAUCAUUUGACAUCACCUAUGGUGGGAGUUCCAGAUGCUGUACUAUUUCUUGCUAAAAAGAUUGAAGCAAAGGAUUCCAAGAGAAUCUACAAUAUGAUUGAUGUUUUGCGAGAGGGUAAUAUGCGAUAAAAAGUUCUAUGGAGUAUGAUGCAAGAUGUGGAAAUUUGGGAUUCUAAUAAAGCAAUUUUCAUCUUGUGUCCAAUUUUCGUAUCAAUUUAUUUGAGGAAAGCUUAGUUUGUACUAUUGUGGCUUAUCUAUAACAUGAUUUGAGUAAGAACAAUAUAAUAUAAAGACGUACGGUUACUAAUUUCUUUUAUUUUAA